Molecule: long non-coding RNA, 479 nt
Filed under: Sus scrofa (pig)
Lineage: Eukaryota; Metazoa; Chordata; Mammalia; Artiodactyla; Suidae
Description: lncRNA (ENSSSCG00055000540.1)
Source: RNAcentral
CAUCCCCGGAGCCUGACUGCAGAAGCCUAAGGCCCUGGAAACCAGCAAGUUGGCUACUAAAGGUGCCAAGAUUGGAGUGGGGGAGACGCCCAAGACACAUCGACACGUUAGGGCAGGUGCGGGUGUCUGCUGUGAAGGAGGCGGCAGAGACAAGGACCCAGAGGGAUGGAAGAAGGCGUUUCUGCUCAGGCACUAGUAUCAACUGAUAUCCCUAUUGAUGUGUUUUCCUUACAAAAUAAUCCAUCCAUUUCUUGAAGAGAAAGGUAAGUGAUAGAUGGCUUAGAUGCAUACAUAGAUAUGUCAACAUGUGUGUAUAUAUGCAUGGGUGGCUGAAUGGAUGGGUGGAUAGAUUAAUAGGUAGGUAGGUAGGUUGAUUGAUUGAUUGAUGAUUGACAGACUCCCAUAUAUUCUUCUUAUUCUCUAUUAUUUUCAGCAGCUAUAAUUUGAUUCUUGGGAGUUCCUGUUGUGGCUCAGCAGAA